AGCAGCCGCGGUAAUUCCAGCUCCAAUAGCGUAUAUUAAAGUUGUUGCAGUUAAAAAGCUCGUAGUUGAAUUUCGGGGUUAGUAGGCUGGUCGUGCCACUGGUAUGUACUGGUCUUACUGACUUCUCCUUUCUGAAGAACUGUAAUGCCAUUAAUUUGGUGUUGCAGGGGAAUCAGGACUGUUACUUUGAAAAAAUUGAGUGUUUAAAGCAGGCUAACGCUUGAAUACAUUAGCAUGGAAUAAUGAAAUAGGACGUUCGAUCCUAUUUUGUUGGUUUCUAGGAUCGACGUAAUGAUUAAUAGGGAUAGUUGGGGGCAUUAGUAUUCAAUUGUCAGAGGUGAAAUUCUUGGAUUUUAUUGAAGACUAACUACUGCGAAAGCAUUUGCCAAGGAUGUUUUCAUUAAUCAAGAACGAAGUUAGGGAUCGAAGACGAUCAGAUACCGUCGUAGUCUUAACCAUAAACUAUGCCGACUAGGGAUCGGAUGAUGUUAAUUUUUAAUGUACUCAGUUCGGCGUACCG
RNAcentral lists this ribosomal RNA (520 nucleotides) under uncultured Glomus. RNAcentral's name for it is "SSU rRNA". It matches the Rfam family "Eukaryotic small subunit ribosomal RNA", at positions 569 to 1088 of the family's 1831-position model. Lineage: Eukaryota; Fungi; Glomeromycota; Glomeromycetes; Glomerales; Glomeraceae. The record is from RNAcentral.